UGGAAGAGCUGGCCUCUGAGCAGCAGCUGACUGCCCUGGCAGGAGCUGCAGGAACUCCAGCACAGACAGGCCUCAGGGAACCUGAAUAACCACUUCUUGGACCUGAGGUUGCAAGGUUUAUGGAGUCUGUUCUUCCAGUAUUCAAAACCCGCAGGCAGAGUUCUUACCAACUGACUUGAGUCUGCCUCCUGGAACCACAGCGAUCCUAGCCCAACAUACCCCAACUGUUUUUACAGAUGGGGAAACAGAGGAUCAGAAGGAACAGCUCUCUGGUCCUCAGCUUACCCAGCUGUCAAAUGAUGGAGUCAUCUGUGAUCUGCCAGGUUCCUUCCACCUUCCAUAGAUAUAC
Budorcas taxicolor (takin) is the source of this 349-nucleotide long non-coding RNA. RefSeq lists it as uncharacterized. The transcript has 3 exons. The record is from RefSeq and is a predicted model, not a curated record. NCBI's taxonomy places the organism in Eukaryota, Metazoa, Chordata, Mammalia, Artiodactyla, Bovidae.